Molecule: long non-coding RNA, 453 nt
Filed under: Ananas comosus (pineapple)
Lineage: Eukaryota; Viridiplantae; Streptophyta; Magnoliopsida; Poales; Bromeliaceae
Description: long non-coding RNA (ACOM_LNC044303)
Source: RNAcentral
ACCUUGGUAGUGCAACCUACACUUUUGGAUAGAAUUAAAGAAAAACAAGUUCACGACGUGGAGUUGCAAAAGAUUAGAGAUAAAAUGGUUGAUGGUUGCACCGGCGAUUUCCUUGUGGAUGAUCAAGUGUCACGCCCCGGGACCCAGCGGAAGCCCGCCCGGUGCGUGCCCAGACCCGCCAUAUGUCUACAACAUAUAAGGCGUCUAAAACAACAAUAAUAAAAGCAAUAAUAAAAGACAUCUAGGAGUAUCAGAGCAUAAUAAAUGUCUAAAUGCUACAACAAGAAAUAAGGAUGAAAUUGUAAAUUCACUAAAUGAAACAUAAAGUAAAUACAAUAGAAAAUCCCAAAUACAAGUGCUAUAGGUAGGUACAUAGGUGGUCUCUACACAUGGAUACAAAAUCUCUCACUCUCCCAACUACAAAAAGAAAGAGCAAACCACCUAAGCAAGAAC